This is a non-coding RNA of Pogona vitticeps (central bearded dragon), 473 nucleotides long. Lineage: Eukaryota; Metazoa; Chordata; Lepidosauria; Squamata; Agamidae. The record is from RefSeq and is a predicted model, not a curated record.
CAUGAUAAACAGUAGAAAUAUGGCUAGCUUUGAUGUAAUUGUUUAGCGCUGGGUCUAGAAUAAGAUGAUUUGUUGUGGUUAUAGAGAUGAUAUUGUCAUCAUGGACAAAUUUAGUACAAGUUAAGAAUUCAAUAGCACAAGGCAGAUUUUCCAUCCUUGAAACAACAAUGAGAGCUUGCAGGCAAAUGAUGCAGUAACACAUCUCUUGAAUCCAACUGAACUGACAUAUGACAUAAUGAUGGAAAUCCAUGUGCUCUUUUGUGCCCUCAACUGUGUUCACGCCACUCAGCAGACCUCUUCCAGAUUCUCCAGGAUGUCGUCUUUUUUAUCAUCAAAGAGGCCUCAUCCAUUGAACGAGUUCACGUAUCAGCAGGCCAUGGGGAAGAGCUGAAUGGAUUAAAGCAUUGGGACCCUAAUCCUUAUCAUCAAGAGUGCAGAAUUUAAGAAGCACAAUUAGUCACCAAGAAAACAGA